Molecule: ribosomal RNA, 465 nt
Filed under: uncultured bacterium
Lineage: Bacteria
Description: partial 16S ribosomal RNA
Rfam family: Bacterial small subunit ribosomal RNA
Source: RNAcentral
GACGAACGCUGGCGGCGUGCUUAACACAUGCAAGUCGUACGGUAAGGCCCUUUCGGGGGUACACGAGUGGCGAACGGGUGAGUAACACGUGAGUAACCUGCCCACAACUUUGGGAUAACGCUAGGAAACUGGUGCUAAUACUGGAUAUGUGCUCCUGCUGCAUGGUGGGGGUUGGAAAGCUCCGGCGGUUGUGGAUGGACUCGCGGCCUAUCAGCUUGUUGGUGGGGUAGUGGCCUACCAAGGCGGCGACGGGUAGCCGGCCUGAGAGGGUGACCGGCCACAGUGGGACUUAGAGACGGCCCAGACGCCUACGGGAGGCAGCAGGGGGGAAUAUUGCACAAGGGGCGCAAGCCUGAUGCAGCAACGCCGCGGGCGGGAGGACGGCCUUCGGGUUGUAAACCGCUUUCAGCAGGGACGAAGCUUUUUGUGACGGUACCUGCAGAAGAAGCACCGGCUAACUACGUG